Molecule: transfer RNA, 74 nt
Filed under: Salmonella enterica subsp. enterica serovar Typhimurium
Lineage: Bacteria; Pseudomonadati; Pseudomonadota; Gammaproteobacteria; Enterobacterales; Enterobacteriaceae
Also listed under: 3 other names
Description: tRNA-Met
Rfam family: tRNA
About the family: Transfer RNA (tRNA) molecules are approximately 80 nucleotides in length. Their secondary structure includes four short double-helical elements and three loops (D, anti-codon, and T loops).
Source: RNAcentral
CGCGGGGUGGAGCAGCCUGGUAGCUCGUCGGGCUCAUAACCCGAAGGUCGUCGGUUCAAAUCCGGCCCCCGCAC